Molecule: non-coding RNA, 2491 nt
Organism: Python bivittatus (Burmese python)
Lineage: Eukaryota; Metazoa; Chordata; Lepidosauria; Squamata; Pythonidae
Source: RefSeq, a predicted model, not a curated record
UCUGGCAGCUGGUCUCCCCCAUGGUCCGGAAAGAUUGCGAACAACCAACAGGGCACUUUCUUUCUGUAUAGAAACCUAUGCUGUUUGGGUGUAAGGAAAUCCCUGCACCUUUGCACAGAACUUUGAUCUGAAAACUCCCUUUUGUCUCAGGAUACAAUCAUACUUCCUUCAUGAAUCCUGCCUCUGGACCAAGACUAGCCGAGAUACUUGCUUUCUACACCAAAACCUGAGCUGCAUGCUUCCAUCUCCACAAUCUGUAAAACACCUAAUUCCGUCAAAGAAAAUAAGAGAUUUCAAGGUGAGAAGUUAAGGAUUGAGAAAUGAAGUAUCAAAGAAACAUCAUUCAACAGCUUUCAUUCAGAUAAUGUAUUUCUUUUUCAAUUUAUUGAAUAUUCAAUUUGUUGAAUAUUUAUAAGGCAUUCUGCUAAAACCUCCAGCACAGACAAUUAUCUGUAAUAUGUCAUAUAGAGUAAUUCUGUGUCCUUUCAAAGUUUUGGACUACAAUUUCCAUAGUCUCUUGCAACUCCCAGUGCUAUUUGAGGCUGGUGGAAUUGAUGUGCAAAAUAACUGGGAUGCACCAAUUUGCCUACCUCUACUCCAGUAUUACGUCUCUGUCACUGGAUAGCCUCUUGAGUUAAACAUACAACAUAAAUAAUUCUGGGAGGUUAAGCAAGCUGAGGAGCAAUGGCUGCCAAUUUGGGGAAAGGAGUUUCUUUAGUUAAACAUGCACUGGAUAAGCCAGGUUUUACCACUUACUCCAGGACCAAUGACACUGAAGACAUCAGGAGUCAGAUCUUCUGUUCCACAUUUUUUAAAAAUAAUUCUGCCAUUAUUAGUGAAAUCUAUAUAUGAAUAACCAAUAUGCCUAGCACUUUAAAAAAAAAAGAGGGCGGGGAAGUAGGAGUGAAAAAGAUGAAUUUAGUUUAGUUUCACAUAAUUAGGUUUUGGUUUUGCACAUUCACCAAAAAUGUGUAUUUUAAGGGAGAAUGAGAACAACUGGGAAAUCUUCUCCUCUCCCCACUACACACAAAGACAUUUGGGAAAGACAUUCCAGAAGUAAGGAGCGUACAGGGAAAAGCAAGUUAAGAUAGCAAGAGAUUCUCGCUAGAGUUGCAUAAAAAGAAUUUGGGAUACAAAAUGACCGUUGACUUUCUACAUUGGACUUGGAACACACUACUGAAGGGUAGGCCACACAUACUCAUAUAGUCUCUACAAUUCGCCACAUGAACUGGUCAAAGGAGUCACAUGCAGUGGCUAUCUAAAAAGUGGUACGACAACCACUAGUUUUUCCUUUUCUAAGUAUUUUUAUGUUUAUAACCUAAUACAGAAGUUACUUAGUCUUUCUACAACUGGGGAAGGGACAGGGUGGGGAGAUAUUCAGAUAGAAGGAAACAUAUAGGGAAGAGAAAAAUACCAAGAAAAAAAAAAAAUAGCCACCCUCAGAGAAUUUGUAGUCCUUGUUUUCUACACGAUUUUGCCAUGUGUAUCUAGUAAAGCUGUAACACAUAAAGAUUUAGUUUAUUUGCUAUUUUACCCUCUGUUGUUAGAAGCAGCUGAAACCCUAUGUAAGCUGCGAAGCCUAUGUAGGCUGUGAACCUAUCUGAGCAGCAAGAGUACUUUUAAUACCAGUAAAAGUGCUAUCUCACUCCUAGCCCACAAAACAGACUGUCAAACCUCCCCUCCUGCUAGCGUCUCCCUGUUUUAUCAGCAGCCAGGGAGCUGUCAGCGGGUGGGGUAGGGGAGACUAAAUAGGAGGCCAGCUCAGAAAGUAAUUCUGGAUGAAGACAACAGUGAAAGCCUGUCACAGAUUACAGCUACAUUUUAAGGACAGUGGACUCAUCCAUAAAGUAGAAAGCACUACUAAACGCUUGUGUCCAAGUGUAGUGUUUCCUACUUUAUGGAUGAGUGUACUGUGAGCAACGGAGGCAACAAGGAACAGCACAAUCAAGAACAAGGAUGGAAAAGGGAAGAGGCAACGUAACAUGUAAGUUGUGGGAUUGCCCACAGAUUAUAUUGCACAACAUUUAAGUACAGAUUCCUUCUGAUGUACUGCUACUAUAUUCAUCCCCAUUUUCCAGCAUUUGGACUCAAAAUUCUCCAAGCCACAUUUAUGACUUAGGUUACAUAUUUCUGCAUUUAAGUACAAUAAAGUAAGGAAGAAAACCUAACAAUAUGGCAAAGAUAUUCCAAAUAUAUUUGGCCUGUACUUCAUUUUACUAUUUCCUCAUUCUCCUUCCGUGAGUCAUAUUCUCCCCUCUGCUACAUUCCAAUAUGUUCAUGUUUUUUGAAGAAUCAAAAAAACUAGAAACAUAUUUAGUUGAGCAAAGCCAAAUUCAGAAUUCAUUAAGUUUUAUUUCUCUUGCUUGUUACAUUUAGAAACUCAUGAUAGUUCCCUCCAAACCUAAAUUACUUUUGCCAUUUAGGAAAGAGGUUGGCUGAAAUGUGAUGAUGAUGAUGAUGAUGAUGAUGAUGAUGGUGGUGGUGGUGGUGG